ACGGCGAGUGAAGCGGCAAAAGCUCAAAUUUGAAAUCUGGCGCCUGCAAGUGUCCGAGUUGUACUUUGGAGAGGCAUCUUCGUGAGGGGUCCAGCCUAUGUUCCUUGGAACAGGGCGUCACAGAGGGUGAGAAUCCCGUUCGUGGCUGGAUACUCCUUGCAGUAUGUAGUGUCUUCAAUGAGUCGAGUUGUUUGGGAAUGCAGCUCAAAAUGGGUGGUAAAUUUCAUCUAAAGCUAAAUAUUGGCGAGAGACCGAUAGCGCACAAGUAGAGUGAUCGAAAGAUGAAAAGCACUUUGAAAAUAGAGUCAAACAGUACGUGAAAUUGUUGAAAGGGAAGCGCUUGAGAUCAGAGUCAGCCUUUGACAAACAACAUUCCUUAUGGAUAGUGCACUUGUUAUUGGCUGGGCCAGCAUCAGUUGGGACGGUAGGAUAAAGGCCUUGGGAAUGUGACUCCCUUCUGGAGUGUUAUAGCCCUUGGUACCAUACUGCCUGCCCUGACUGUGGACCGCGCUUCGGCUUGGAUGCUGGCUUAAUGGUCUUCAGCGGCCCGUCUUGAAACACGGACCAAGGAGUCUAACGUCUAUGCAAGUGUUUGGGCUCAAAACCCUCACGCGUAAUGAAAGUGAACGGAGGUGGGAACCCUGCAAGGGGUGCACCAUCGACCGAUCCUGAUGUCUUCGGAUGGAUUUGAGUAGGAGCAUAGCUGUUGGGACCCGAAAGAUGGUGAACUAUGCCUGAAUAGGGUGAAGCCAGAGGAAACUCUGGUGGAGGCUCGCAGCGGUUCUGACGUGCAAAUCGAUCGUCAAAUUUGGGUAUAGGGGCGAAAGACUAAUCGAACCAUCUA
This 844-nucleotide ribosomal RNA is filed under the name Tuber gibbosum. Its description in RNAcentral is "eukaryotic LSU rRNA". It matches the Rfam family "Eukaryotic large subunit ribosomal RNA", at positions 86 to 946 of the family's 3401-position model. Lineage: Eukaryota; Fungi; Ascomycota; Pezizomycetes; Pezizales; Tuberaceae. The record is from RNAcentral.